AUUGAACGCUGGCGGCAGGCCUAACACAUGCAAGUCGAACGGCAGCACAGAAGAGCUUGCUCUUUGGGUGGCGAGUGGCGGACGGGUGAGUAAUGUCUGGGAAACUGCCCGAUGGAGGGGGAUAACUACUGGAAACGGUAGCUAAUACCGCAUAACGUCGCGAGACCAAAGUGGGGGACCUUCGGGCCUCACACCAUCGGAUGUGCCCAGAUGGGAUUAGCUAGUAGGUGGGGUAAUGGCUCACCUAGGCGACGAUCCCUAGCUGGGCUGAGAGGAUGACCAGCCACACUGGAACUGAGACACGGUCCAGACUCCUACGGGAGGCAGCAGUGGGGAAUAUUGCACAAUGGGCGCAAGCCUGAUGCAGCCAUGCCGCGUGUAUGAAGAAGGCCUUCGGGUUGUAAAGUACUUUCAGCGGGGAGGAAGGCGGUGAGGUUAAUAACCUCGCCGAUUGGCGUUACCCGCAGAAGAAGCACCGGCUAACUCCGUGCCAGCCGCCGCCGUAA
RNAcentral lists this ribosomal RNA (506 nucleotides) under uncultured bacterium. RNAcentral describes it as "partial 16S ribosomal RNA". It matches the Rfam family "Bacterial small subunit ribosomal RNA", at positions 29 to 523 of the family's 1533-position model. The record is from RNAcentral.